GACGAACGCUGGCGGCGUGCUUAACACAUGCAAGUCGAACGAAGAGCGAUGGACGCUUGCUUCUAUCAAUCUUAGUGGCGAACGGGUGAGUAACGCGUAAUCAACCUGCCCUUCAGAGGGGGACAACAGUUGGAAACGACUGCUAAUACCGCAUACGAUCUAAUCUCGGCAUCGAGGAUAGAUGAAAGGUGGCCUCUACAUGUAAGCUAUCACUGAAGGAGGGGAUUGCGUCUGAUUAGCUAGUUGGAGGGGUAACGGCCCACCAAGGCGAUGAUCAGUAGCCGGUCUGAGAGGAUGAACGGCCACAUUGGGACUGAGACACGGCCCAGACUCCUACGGGAGGCAGCAGUGGGGGAUCUUCCGCAAUGGACGAAAGUCUGACGGAGCAACGCCGCGUGAGUGAUGACGGCCUUCGGGUUGUAAAGCUCUGUUAAUCGGGACGAAAGGCCUUCUUGCGAAUAGGGAGAAGGAUUGACGGUACCGGAAUAGAAAGCCACGGCUAACUACGUG
RNAcentral lists this ribosomal RNA (510 nucleotides) under uncultured bacterium. RNAcentral describes it as "partial 16S ribosomal RNA". It matches the Rfam family "Bacterial small subunit ribosomal RNA", at positions 28 to 507 of the family's 1533-position model. The record is from RNAcentral.